GUUGGCCAAAAAGUUCAUUUGGGUUUUUCCAUAUUCUCUUUCCAUACUCUCUCUUAUGGGAAAAACUCUAUGAAUUUUCUGGACAACUCA
Molecule: microRNA precursor, 90 nt
Filed under: Ovis aries (sheep)
Lineage: Eukaryota; Metazoa; Chordata; Mammalia; Artiodactyla; Bovidae
Description: miRNA (ENSOARG00000024214.1)
Source: RNAcentral